Molecule: long non-coding RNA, 1321 nt
Organism: Syngnathus typhle (broad-nosed pipefish)
Lineage: Eukaryota; Metazoa; Chordata; Actinopteri; Syngnathiformes; Syngnathidae
Exons: 3
Source: RefSeq, a predicted model, not a curated record
AGCAGCGGAGAAAAGAUGUACAUGACGCGAGACCAGUCAAUACGCGAUCUGCGACCCUUGCGCCUCGUGGAGUCGCGGGAGUUUGCGAUCCAAGAUGGCCGACCUUCUGCGCAUGCGCCUCACAAUGCGCAAUUUAUUUGGGGUAUGGAGUCGAAGAAAGCAGAGGCCACUUACAAUCAGCGUGAGGUAUUGGCAGGUUAGCAUUACGUUAGUCGUUUGCUGAUCCACGAAGAAAAGACAAAACAGCCCAUACGGUCUUUUGGGUUGCAACUGGCGUCGCCUUCGCCCUCCGCGGCUACAUAUGUUGGGCAUCCAUGAUGUCCAAAUAUUUGGCCUCAAUGAUGUGAGGGAGCACCCUGUUCCUACACACGCAAGAAGAAACAUAAGUAUGUGAUACACUUCUACAGGUCGGUCGGUUCGAGGGCGUCACCUGAGGGGGAUGAGCAGGAUCAUGACCAAGGGGAAGAUCAUCUUCAUGUAGGGGAUGGGGUACAUGCCGAACGUGCACAGCACCAGCAGCUGCAUCAUCUGCAGGAAGGUGAAGUAGUGGAUCUUCCUUUGGGGCACUUUACGGAUGUAGUGGGUGGGCGGGUACGACGUCUGCGGCAAAGGGGGAAAACACGUCAGGACCCAUCUGGAAAAUUAAGUUCCCUCCGCUUGUCCUCCUCCGGCCAUCCGGAAAGGAACUACCGUUUUUUUCCAUGUAUAAUGCGCCCCCAUGUAUAAUACGCACCCUAAAAAUGGCAUGUUGAUGUUGGAAAAAAGCCUGUACCCAUGUAUAAUACGCACCCAAAUUUUGACUCCUACUUAAGUCCGUAAACGUAAAAUUAUUUCAGAAAAAAGAUCAUCUUUGGGAACAACCGGAUGUUAUUCUGCCGGUCAGUAUCACUGCGCAUGCGCGAGCAAACUCAAUAGCGGAGAAAUGUUUUGGAUUUGUGUAGGGUACAUUGUGACAGCAAAAGAGCAGGUGAUCGAGCAAAAGAAGAAAGCGCAUCUGUAAUGGCGGCCUCCGUAUGAUGUCCGGAUAAUAAAAAAAAAAAAAACUUUGUACCCAUGUAUAAUACGCACCCCAGAUUUUAGGACAAUAAAUUAGUUACAUUUUGCGCAUUAUACAUGGGAAAAAACGGUACUUGAGUAAAAUGAAAAGGGCCGGCCACGCCACAGGAUCCCCUUCGACGCUCCUCACCUGCUCCUUGAGCAGCAGGGCCAUGCGGUCGCACAUCUGGUUGCCGUCGAUGGAGGUGAGCGCGAUGUAGAGGAAGAGCCCGAACAGAACCGGCUUGGGGAUCCACUGCAGCGGCAGAGGCAGCAAGAAGACCGA